CGGGUGCACUGAUCCAGCCGGGCCUUUCCCUCUGUGGAACCCCAUGGCCUUCACUGGCUGUGGCGGGGAAACAGGACUUUUACUUUGAAAAAAUUAGAGUGCUCCAGGCAGGCCUAUGCUCGAAUACAUUAGCAUGGAAUAAUAGAAUAGGACGUGUGGUUCUAUUUUGUUGGUUUCUAGGACCGCCGUAAUGAUUAAUAGGGACAGUCGGGGGCAUCAGUAUUCAAUUGUCAGAGGUGAAAUUCUUGGAUCUAUUGAAGACUAACUACUGCGAAAGCAUUUGCCAAGGAUGUUUUCAUUGAUAAGGAACGAAAGUUAGGGGAUCGAAGACGAUCAGAUACCGUCGUAGUCUUAACUAUAAACUAUGCCGACUAGGGAUCGGACGAUGCUAUUCUUUGACGCGUUCGGCACCUUUCGAGAAAUCAAAGUGCUUGGGCUCCAGGGGGAGUAUGGUCGCAAGGCUGAAACUUAAAGAAAUUGACGGAAGGGCACCACCAGGGGUGGAACCUGCGGCUUAAUUUGACUCAACACGGGGAAACUCACCAGGUCCAGACACAGUGAGGAUUGACAGAUUGAGAGCUCUUUCUUGAUUCUGUGGGUGGUGGUGCAUGGCCGUUCUUAGUUGGUGGAGUGAUUUGUCUGCUUAAUUGCGAUAACGAACGAGACCUUAACCUGCUAAAUAGCCCGUACUGCUUUGGCAGUUCGCCGGCUUCUUAGAGGGACUAUCGG
This 729-nucleotide ribosomal RNA is filed under the name uncultured eukaryote. Its description in RNAcentral is "SSU rRNA". It matches the Rfam family "Eukaryotic small subunit ribosomal RNA", at positions 670 to 1426 of the family's 1831-position model. The record is from RNAcentral.